CGAAGGUUGGCUAAUCCUGGUCGGACAUCAGGAGGUUAGUGCAAUGGCAUAAGCCAGCUUGACUGCGAGCGUGACGGCGCGAGCAGGUGCGAAAGCAGGUCAUAGUGAUCCGGUGGUUCUGAAUGGAAGGGCCAUCGCUCAACGGAUAAAAGGUACUCCGGGGAUAACAGGCUGAUACCGCCCAAGAGUUCAUAUCGACGGCGGUGUUUGGCACCUCGAUGUCGGCUCAUCACAUCCUGGGGCUGAAGUAGGUCCCAAGGGUAUGGCUGUUCGCCAUUUAAAGUGGUACGCGAGCUGGGUUUAGAACGUCGUGAGACAGUUCGGUCCCUAUCUGCCGUGGGCGCUGGAGAACUGAGGGGGGCUGCUCCUAGUACGAGAGGACCGGAGUGGACGCAUCACUGGUGUUCGGGUUGUCAUGCCAAUGGCACUGCCCGGUAGCUAAAUGCGGAAGAGAUAAGUGCUGAAAGCAUCUAAGCACGAAACUUGCCCCGAGAUGAGUUCUCCCUGAGACUUUAGGUCUCCUGAAGGAACGUUGAAGACGACGACGUUGAUAGGCCGGGUGUGUAAGCGCAGCGAUGCGUUGAGCUAACCGGUACUAAUGAACCGUGAGGCUUAACCUU
This 620-nucleotide ribosomal RNA is filed under the name Salmonella enterica. Its description in RNAcentral is "partial 23S ribosomal RNA". It matches the Rfam family "Bacterial large subunit ribosomal RNA", at positions 2311 to 2925 of the family's 2925-position model. Lineage: Bacteria; Pseudomonadati; Pseudomonadota; Gammaproteobacteria; Enterobacterales; Enterobacteriaceae. RNAcentral also lists the same sequence under 1 other name. The record is from RNAcentral.